Non-coding RNA from Caenorhabditis elegans, 21 nucleotides. Lineage: Eukaryota; Metazoa; Nematoda; Chromadorea; Rhabditida; Rhabditidae. The record is from Ensembl.
UUGAUGGAUUUGAAAAAUUGA